CGAAGGACGAACGCUGGCGGCGUGCUUAACACAUGCAAGUCGAACGGUGAACCAGAGCUUGCUCUGGGGAUCAGUGGCGAACGGGUGAGUAACACGUGGGCAACCUGCCCCAGACUCUGGGAUAACCUCGGGAAACCGAUGCUAAUACCGGAUACGACCACUUCGGACAUCCGACGGUGGUGGAAAGUUUUUCGGUCUGGGAUGGGCCCGCGGCCUAUCAGCUAGUUGGUGGGGUAAUGGCCUACCAAGGCGACGACGGGUAGCCGGCCUGAGAGGGCGACCGGCCACACUGGAACUGAGACACGGUCCAGACUCCUACGGGAGGCAGCAGUGGGGAAUAUUGCACAAUGGGCGGAAGCCUGAUGCAGCGACGCCGCGUGAGGGACGACGGCCUUCGGGUUGUAAACCUCUUUCAGCAGGGACGAAGCGAAAGUGACUGUACCUGCAGAAGAAGCACCGGCUAACUACGUG
This 471-nucleotide ribosomal RNA is filed under the name uncultured bacterium. RNAcentral describes it as "bacterial SSU rRNA". It matches the Rfam family "Bacterial small subunit ribosomal RNA", at positions 26 to 507 of the family's 1533-position model. The record is from RNAcentral.